This 3151-nucleotide ribosomal RNA is filed under the name Triticum aestivum (bread wheat). RNAcentral describes it as "partial small subunit ribosomal RNA". The record is from RNAcentral. Lineage: Eukaryota; Viridiplantae; Streptophyta; Magnoliopsida; Poales; Poaceae.
GAUGCACGGCCAAGUGUCUGGGCUACCUGGGAUGACUGGCUCGGGUUGGUGUCUGCCUGGUCGGAAAGGAGGAGGCGGGUGGUUGGGACGAGGCGGGCCGGCGGGAGAGGCGGCCGCUGUAGAGGGCGCGAGCGGUCCGCGACACCCGCCCCCUGACCGCGUACUCGGUCGCGGCCAGGGAGAGUGGUACUCUCCUCGUCUGGCGGUUGUUCCCGCGGCGGCACUGCCCCCCGAGGUCCGGGCGGCGGAAAAGGAGGACGGCCAGCGGCGAUGGGUGAUGGAGGGCGUCGAAGGGAGGCACAGGCGGAGGAAGGUAGCGAGGUGCGGGAGUGGUUGUGGUGCCCUCGACGGACGUCGUAGGAGCUGGGAGAGGUGCUGGACUAGCAUGGUCCAAUAGAGAGGUCCAACGACGUCAACGAUGUCAUGAUCGAUCCACAGCUUGCCCGCCAACACAACACAACAGGCCGCUCUAUCCUCGACAGAGACGACGUAAAAGGAGACUUAGACGGACACAAAGGUCGCAUCACAGCCACGUCUACAGUCGACAUCGGAGAUGUAACCAUAUCUUACCAGAUCCGUGACAAUUAGAAACACCUAUUGACACCUACGACACUUUACCACAUCGGAGAUCCAACCAUGUCUUACCACGUGUGUGUAAAUCGGCGACUUUGUAUAGGGAAGCUAGUGUUUAGACGAAACUCUAUAACCUCAAUAAGAAGUCGUCUUCUUUUUAGUAUACAAAAGGACCACACUAAUGACCAUUACCAGUAUAAGAAUCCUAUAAAACGCUAAAAACGGUUCUCUCUAUACGUACGAAACGACACGUAUGUCCUUGUGACAAAACAAUAAGAACGACAACCCCAAUACAAAGGGAUGGUGUCACAUGGUAGAAUCGUAAAACUUUAAACCUUCGCCCAACCCCACCAGACUAAAACGGUUGUCUCUACGGAGAAACACGAAAGAUUCAAAGAUAAGAUCGUUGACACUUUAUUUCACUAUACUGAGGUGUCUGAAGACUAAAUCGGGGAACCUGGUCUUAACUGAUUUACCAGGACUUAAAUUGUAAAAUUGACUUAAACGAACACGUGGAACGGAAAAGCACCAAUUUUGGUCUUUACGACGGUACAGUCGAUAUAAAAAGUCUUCGUGAGGUCAAUUCUAUGACAUUGGUCCUAUUGUGACAUAAACCGUCUAAUAAAUGAGGUAUUUGACUUCAAUACUGUCUUAGAAUCACAUCUAAAUUGUGUUAGUUUGAAUAACGUCUUAAUAUCCUCAUGUACUUUUGACUUGAAUACCGUGUCAGAGUAAAAGGAUACGAUAGGUAUACCAGAGUUCGUCGAAUCAACCCGGAAUUAAUUAUUUACCCGUACCUUCACGUUUAUGUAACGGGACAGACUUUCUAUUACUGUCAGUACCUUAAAUAUAAAGAGAAUGACUUUCUAUUACUGUCAGUACCUUAAAUAUAAAUAUGUACCAGGACUGAUUUAUGUACCUUAAAUAUAAAUAUGUACCAGGACUGAUUUAUGUACCUUAAAUAUAAGUCAGUAAGAGACUCAUAUAUUUGACUUUAUAAGUCAGUAAGAGAUUUAAAGAUAUAAAGAGCCUUUUAUAAGUCUGUUCUAACACUUAAAGCACUUGUACUAACUAAAUAUCACUUGUGAUAACUAGUACAUCUGUUAUGACUUCAUUAGACUUAUAAGACUUCAACGACCGUGACAUUAUGAGGUUCAAAGAGACUUAAAGAUAUAAAGAGACUUUUAAGAGACUCAUGAAUCUUCAUUCUUCAGUAGAUUCAAUAAUGACCAUAACUACGUUACACGAACAUAACUUGGUAGAUAGGUUCAAAUAAUGAUUGAUAUAUACACGAAGAGACGUGGAUACGAACGGUCAUAUAGAUAAACGAAAUACCUGUACUGAGAACACAAACAAAUGAACAAUGAUACUGUUAACGCUGCCCUCGCCGGCCUUAAUAGACACCGCGGCCGCGGUUUCACCCGCUUCACAGACGAGGACGCUCGCCGCCGCCACCAGCGGGGACACCGUCGCCGAAUCCACCCUCCGCCGCAACCCGGACUGCCACCUACGCGACCAGCGGAGGCACCCGUCGCCACCAGUUCGACGUGUCCACCCUCCGCCACGACCCGGACUGCCACCUACGCGACCAGCGGGGGCACCCGCCGUCACCCGCUCCACCCCGCCGCCACCAGAUCGACGCGUCCACCCCCCGCCACCAACGGAGGCACCGCUGUUACGUCCACCCGUCGCGACCGAGGUUGCCACCGACCGAUGAGCACCUGCUGCCCCCUCCUCCUUCCUUCCUAUGUCCGACUGAAACGUUGUCCAAAUUUACGUAUUCAAAAAAAAAACGUUUUUAGUUUUAAUUGAUUCGGCCACUGUAAGAAAAACCCUGCCUCCCUCAUAAACGAAGAAGAAAAAGUUGACUCACGGUAACUCUACCAGUAAAAAGUAGCCGCUACAGAACCCACCUACAAGAAUUUCCUCGUGAUAGGUUAGCCCUUACGCUACAAUAUAAACUUUAAAACUUACACCCAGCAGUUUGAAACGACUCCGUGAUCGCGGACGAGACCUACCAGGAGGUCUACCUUGAAAUUACAGAAUUAGAGUACAAAGACCGAAAGACGUAGAACAUAAAGAAGACUUUCAUAAGUACUGGACAGGGUACUCGGAGUACGUCUUUGUACCUAUCGUUUAUGUGAAGGAUAAGUUAUUUAGACCAGCUCCAUAGUUGUUCCCUAAGCGGAGACCGAUCGUACGUCUUCCAACUAGAAGGACACCUAUGGAGAGUAGACCCUCAUUUCGUGUGUUACAUCGAGGAAAUGAAACGUCUAGGACUUUCCUUGACAACUCGUUAGUCAAAACCGUAUACAUGUCAAUCUUCGACACCUGUAUGAGAAAGACAUGUUACCUGUGUUUUGCCGGACUUCGAUGUUUAAACGUAGCGACUCGGAGUCCGAUUUCAACUCUUCGUGACUUCCUACUUACCACCGUGCACUAGCGACGCAAAUUGUAUCGUGACGACAAACCGUGGAGGAAUUUUUACACUUGAGUCCAAGUUUAUAUUUAGAAACUAAACGAAAUACUUAAAUGGGCAAGUCAAUGUGAACGGCCUUGUAUAUAUGGUAUAUGGGUU